GAGAUUUUGUAACGCUACGCACAAUACACCCUUGUAAUUCGUCAACAGAAGUUAUAGUGCACUGCACUGCCUUUUCUUUUCAGUCAUAUCACAAAUAGAACUUAAGAAACAAAUAGACAACAAUUUUACAGUUCGAGAGGCACUGAAAACUAGCAGCAUUUUGUAGUCUAUCACCACAAGAUACAAGAAACAAGUUUUGUCUUCUCAAACGUGCUAUGAAUCCACUGUACACCUGCUUGUACGUAAACGAAAAAUAUAUCAUCGCAACCAUAAUGUUUGCAGUGAACACUGGGCAGAAAGCAGAAAGCAUUUCUCAAAUACGCUGUGUUUCCGAAGGUUGAGAUUCAGUAAGUUAGAGAAAUGCAGCAAAGCAGUCAACCUCUGUUGAAGAAAACUAUCAGUAAGUUUGACAAAUGCAGCAAAGCUAUGGACCUCUGUCAAAGAAAACUACCGCCAAGACCAUCACUACUCCUCUGUAUAAGAACUCGGUCUCUUUCAAUUGGCGUCAGAUGUAGCUUGUGGCACCUCUUGGUAUAUGCCCGAUUCAUCAUUAUAUGAGUACCAUUGUCCUGAUGAUGCAUUGCAAUACAGUCCAGAUGAUGGAUCAUAAUAGUAGCCCAAACUGCUGCUGUAGUAAUAACCAGAGGACUCAUCAAAGAGAUAAUCACCAUGCUGAUCACCUCCAUUAGGGGCAGGAUUAGCUGGAGUAUUUUCAUCGUCUUCACCAAACAUGUCAAAUGCAUCAUCGCUCUUGCUAGCUGAGUUAUAUGAAUUAGAUGAAGCCACAUCUGUCUUAUGCAUAGGAUGUCCUUCUGCAGUAGCAGUUGACCCACUGGGGAGGAAACCUUCAUCGAGAAUACUAUAGGGCUUAGGCUGCAUUGAUUCACUGGAUUUACCCUGUCUUGCUUGAGCUAACUUCUCGUAUCCCUCUGCUUCCCGCUGGAAACUCUCUUGCUUUUCUUCAUACACAUUGUAAUCUCCAUUCUCCAUUAGCUUCAUAGCAUCUUCUGUUAGCUGAUCAAACAGCUGCUUAGUUUCUCCAGACAUUUUGCCCUUGUUAUUGUUUGAGGUACCUUUCAAUCUCCUUAAACCUCGCAAAACUGUUUCUCCUGGUUCGAGCACAUCAGCAAUUCGCCUCUUCAUCUUUCCUAGUUGUUCUGAUGUAAGGUCUUGAAUCUCA
Molecule: unclassified non-coding RNA, 1180 nt
Filed under: Hevea brasiliensis (rubber tree)
Lineage: Eukaryota; Viridiplantae; Streptophyta; Magnoliopsida; Malpighiales; Euphorbiaceae
Source: RNAcentral